RNAcentral lists this ribosomal RNA (447 nucleotides) under uncultured bacterium. RNAcentral describes it as "partial 16S ribosomal RNA". It matches the Rfam family "Bacterial small subunit ribosomal RNA", at positions 29 to 523 of the family's 1533-position model. The record is from RNAcentral.
AACGAACGCUGGCGGCAGGCCUAACACAUGCAAGUCGAACGCCCAGUAAUGGGAGUGGCGCACGGGUGCGUAACGCGUGGGAAUAUGCCCUUCACUACGGAACAACGUUUGGAAACGAACGCUAAUACCGUAUAAUGACUCCGGUCCAAAGAUUUAUCGGUGAAGGAUUAGCCCGCGUUAGAUUAGCUAGUUGGUGAGGUAAUGGCUCACCAAGGCAACGAUCUAUAGGGGGUCUGAGAGGAUGAUCCCCCACACUGGAACCGAGACACGGUCCAGACUCCUACGGGAGGCAGCAGUGAGGAAUAUUGGACAAUGGGCGCAAGCCUGAUCCAGCCAUGCCGCGUGAGUGAUGAAGGCCUUCGGGUUGUAAAGCUCUUUUAACGGUGAAGAUAAUGACGGUAGCCGUAGAAAAAGCCCCGGCUAAAUUCGUGCCAGCAGCCGCCGUAA